UACGUAGGGGGCAAGCGUUGUCCGGAGUUACUGGGCGUAAAGCGCACGCAGGCGGUCUCUUAAGUUUGGAGUGACAGUUGGUGGCUUAACUGCCAAAGUGCUUCGAAAACUGAGAGACUUGAGGGCUUCAGAGGGACACGGAAUUCCGGGUGGAGUGGUGAAAUGCGUAGAGAUCCGGAGGAACACCAAAGGCGAAGGCAGUGUCCUGGGGAGUACCUGACGCUCAGGUGCGAAAGCCAGGGGAGCGAACGGGG
RNAcentral lists this ribosomal RNA (254 nucleotides) under uncultured bacterium. RNAcentral's name for it is "partial 16S ribosomal RNA". It matches the Rfam family "Bacterial small subunit ribosomal RNA", at positions 524 to 777 of the family's 1533-position model. The record is from RNAcentral.